Peromyscus eremicus (cactus mouse) is the source of this 981-nucleotide long non-coding RNA. RefSeq lists it as uncharacterized. The record is from RefSeq and is a predicted model, not a curated record. NCBI's taxonomy places the organism in Eukaryota, Metazoa, Chordata, Mammalia, Rodentia, Cricetidae. The transcript is spliced from 3 exons.
UGAUGAACCUCUGACCCUAGUCCCUGAGAAAGAAAUACUUCUCAGUUCUGCAAGUGUCAGGAGCAAAGAUCAUCAUUUCCUUGGCCUAUUCUUGUACUGAUUGGUGUGCUACCAAUAUACACUGGAUGAGCUACAGGAGGGGGCUGCCCUGAGAGCCUCCCACUGGUCAUCAACCUCACAGUCAUGAAAGAAAACAUUGCAGCUGAUCAUUGGGGAAGACUGGGCACUACAGAUAAAGCCCAGGCCCUGAGACACAUGGAAAAGCAAUCUGUACCCACCGCAGAGGGGCAGGAACCUUCUCACAGGUGGAGAGCCUGGUUAGAGGAAAUUGAAGACCGCUGUCCCAGUUUCUGUGGAUGUGACUACAAAGCAACUCAGAGGGGAGAGGACUUUAACCUACAAUCGCAGGUUACAGUUCACCAUGGAAGGGAAGUCCCAGAAGGAGGAAGGUGAGCAGUUAGUCACACCACACGCACAGCGGACAGCAGAAAGGACUAAGGAUGCAUGUUUACGUGUGCUCAGAUCUCUUUCUCUGCACUGCACAGUCCAGGAUCCUCUGAUUACAGAUUGGGACCACCCACAGUGGGCUGGAUCUUCCAGUACUAACUAACAUUAGCAUCCAAGACAACUCUCCACAGACAUACCCACCCGCCAACCUCAUUUGGACAACCCCAGGUGACUUGCAGUUGUGUCAAGUGGACAGUUAAAACUAACCGUCAUGACCCUGAACUUUUUAGUUGUUUGUUUGUUUUUAGCUCCUAGGACAGGGACUUGGUAUGGAUGCAAGGCAGGUGGCCUCAACUGCAUGAUCCCCCUGCUUCAGUCUCCACAGGGCCAGGGUUAGUCUUGUGCCACCACACCAGACUGACUGACCUCAAACCGUUUUACAUUCGAGAACUUUUAAAGUUUGAAACUGACAAUUUACAGCCACUUUCAACCCCAGAAAAUGCAUAAAUGCUUUAUCUCCACCUCUCAGCUACA